RNAcentral lists this transfer RNA (63 nucleotides) under Rattus norvegicus (Norway rat). It matches the Rfam family "tRNA". From Rfam's summary of the family: Transfer RNA (tRNA) molecules are approximately 80 nucleotides in length. The record is from Rfam by way of RNAcentral. Lineage: Eukaryota; Metazoa; Chordata; Mammalia; Rodentia; Muridae.
GGGGAUUUAGCUCAGUGGUAGAGCGCUUGCCUAGCAAGUGCAAGGCCCUAGUUUCAGUCCUCA